GUGUUCGCUUCGGCAGCACAUAUAUUGAAGUUGGAAUAAUACAGAGAAAAUUAGCAUGGCCCCUGCACAAGGAUGAUACACAAAUCAGUGAAGCAUUCCAUAUUUUU
Small nuclear RNA from Pipistrellus kuhlii (Kuhl's pipistrelle), 107 nucleotides. The record is from RefSeq and is a predicted model, not a curated record. NCBI's taxonomy places the organism in Eukaryota, Metazoa, Chordata, Mammalia, Chiroptera, Vespertilionidae.